CGGUGGAAAAGAAACUAACAAGGAUUCCCCUAGUAGCGGCGAGCGAAGCGGGAAGAGCCCGAAAUGAAAAGCCUGCUUGCAGGCGUUGUAUUUUGAAUGUUCUUGGGGUGUCAGUGCGGGUAAGUUGUAUGAAAGUACAUACCGUGGAGGGUGAGAGUCCCGUCCGGCCUGCACAGGACACCUCGUACAAGUUCAUUUCAGAUGAGUCGGGUAGCUUGGGAAUGCUGCUCUAAUUGGUGGUAAACUUCAUCAAAGGCUAAAUAUUGACCGGAGACCGAUAGUGAACAAGUACCGUGAGGGAAAGAUGACAAGCACUUUGAAAAGAGGGUGAAAAGAGCCUGAAACCGUCAUGGGGGAAGCGGAUUGCGUUGGGUUGAGUGGUUGCAGUGUGUUCAACUGGUUUGUCAGUGUAUUGGCACAGCAAUCGAUCUGUCGUGGGUUUGGGAUGGUUGAUUUUGCAACUGUUCUGGGCUGAGGGCUCCCUUUUAUAGGUGAGGACGAUGGAGGGACGACGCGAUACGACCCGUCUUGAAACACGGACCAAGGAGUCUAGCGCGGGUGCGAGUCAAAGGGUGCAAGCCUGAGGGCGUAGUGAAAGCAAAUGUGAAAACUUGCAGUUUGGGGCGGCAUAAGAUCGUUGAUCUUAAGACCGACCUAGAGCAGUUGCGCUGGGACCCGAAAGAUGGUGAACUAUGCCCGAGUAGGGCAAAGCCAGAGGAAACUCUGGUGGAGGCUCGUAGCGGUGCUGACGUGCAAAUCGCUCGUCAAACUUAGGUAUAGGGGCGAAAGACUAAUCGAACCAUCUAGUAGCUGGUUCCCUCCGAAGUUUCUCUCAGGAUAGCGGGCCGACAUGGUGUUGUUUUGUGCGGUAAAGCGAAUGAUUAGCGCACUCGGGGGCAGUUGGCCUUCGGGCGAUUCUCAAACUUUCAAUGCGCAAGGGUGCCGCUGCUUGGUUGAGCGGCACCGGUAAAAACGUCGGCCCUGUGGGCCACUUUUGGUAAGCAGAACUGGCGAUACGGGAUGAACCGUAAGUGAGGUUAAGGCGUCAAACUGCCCGCUUAGAGAUCCCACAAAAGGUGUUGAUUCAUCGAGACAGCAGGACGGUGGCCAUGGAAGUCGGAAUCCGCUAAGGAGUGUGUAACAACUCACCUGCCGAAUGAAUUAGCCCUGAAAAUGGAUGGCGCUAAAGCGGGAGGCCGACACCUCGCCGUCUGGUAAAUAAUUAUGAUCAGAUGAGUAGGAGGGCGUGGUGGUUGUGUCGAAGCAUGCGUGCAAACGUUUGUGGAACGGCCACUAGUGCAGAUCUUGGUGGUAGUAGCAAGUAUUCAAGCGAGAUCCUUGAAGGGCGAAGCGGGGAAGGGUUCCACGCGAACAUUGAUUGGGCGUGGGUGAGUCGUUCCUAAGCCGAGUGGCAAUUGCUAAGUAUUGGCGAAAGGGAAGCAGGUUGACAUUCCUGCACACGGAUGUGGAGGCGGUGACGCAUAUUGGGACAAACACGUUGGCGAUGGCGCUGGGCAGAGUUGUCUUUUCUGUUUGACCUGGCGCAUGCAGUGUGGAAUCCGCUUGUCGGGAGAAACACGCGUGAUGGGGCAGAGCGCCGGGGUUUUUCCGGCGUCCAGCUCGCCAUUGACGACCCUUGAAACUUUGUCUGAUGAUUAAAUCCACGCCGUGGCGUACCGAUCACCGCAUCAGGUCCCCAAGGUGAACAGCCUCUGCUCAAUAUGAAAAAUGCAGGUAAGGGAAGUCGGCAAAUUAGACCCCUAACUUUGGGAUAAGGGUUGGCUCUAGUGCUGCGUGGGAGUGGUUGCCUGUUAUCAAUCUGUCAGAUCAGACUGAUUCGGUGUGGGAUGGAAAGGUGUAAAAACUUGGAAAACCUGUGCUACGUUGGUUCAAUCAGGUAUUUUGUGAUGGGCGACGCCCACAGCAUGCAGCAGACUAGAACUGCAACGGGCAAAGGGAAUCCGACUGUUUAAUUAAAACAAAGCAUUGCGAGGGCCGUGGCCGGUGAUGACGCAAUGUGAUUUCUGCUCAGUGCUCUGAAUGUCAAAGUGAAGAGAUUCAAUCAAGCGCGGGUAAACAGCGGGAGUAACUAUGACUCUCUUAAGGUAGCCAAAUGCCUCGUCAUCUAAUUAGUGACGCGCAUGAAUGGAUCAAUGAGAUUCCUACUGUCCCUAUCUGCUUCUAGCGAAACCACAGCCGAGGGAACGGGCUCGGUGAAAUCGGCGGGGAAAGAAGACCCUGUUGAGCUUGACUCUAUUCUAAUUUUGUGAAGCAAGUUGGGAGGUGUAGCAUAGGUGGGAGCGUUUCGGCGCGUCCGUGAAAUACCACUACUCCCAGUCUUGCUUUACUUACUGGGUCGGUGUGGAUGAAUUUUACGAUUCGAUUUUUGAACCAAUGUUUUUGUGUAACAAAAUACAGACCACAGCCCAGCACACAUUUAGGAGGGGAGUUUGGCUGGGGCGGCACAUCUUCUACAAGACAACGAAGGUGUCCAAAGAUAAGCUCAGUGAGAACAGAAAUCUCACGUAGCGGAAAAGGCUAAAAGCUUGUUUGAUUUCGAUUUUCAGUGCGAGUCGAAAACGCGAAAGCGUGGCCUAUCGAUCCUUUCACGAUUCCAGGUUUGAAGCGAGAGGUGUCAGAAAAGUUACCACAGGGAUAACUGGCUUGUGGCGGCCAAGCGUUCAUAGCGACGUCGCUUUUUGAUCCU
RNAcentral lists this ribosomal RNA (2707 nucleotides) under Rhipidomenia polycoelioides. Its description in RNAcentral is "eukaryotic LSU rRNA". It matches the Rfam family "Eukaryotic large subunit ribosomal RNA", at positions 51 to 2877 of the family's 3401-position model. Lineage: Eukaryota; Rhodophyta; Florideophyceae; Gigartinales; Kallymeniaceae. The record is from RNAcentral.